Molecule: ribosomal RNA, 305 nt
Filed under: uncultured bacterium
Lineage: Bacteria
Description: bacterial SSU rRNA
Rfam family: Bacterial small subunit ribosomal RNA
Source: RNAcentral
GCCUACGGGACGCAGCAGUGGGGAAUAUUGCACAAUGGGGGAAACCCUGAUGCAGCAACGCCGCGUGAGUGAAGAAGUAUUUCGGUAUGUAAAGCUCUAUCAGCAGGGAAGAAGAUGACGGUACCUGAGUAAGAAGCCCCGGCUAACUACGUGCCAGCAGCCGCGGUAAUACGUAGGGGGCAAGCGUUAUCCGGAUUUACUGGGUGUAAAGGGAGCGUAGACGGCUGCGCAAGUCUGAAGUGAAAGCCCGGGGCUCAACCCGGGCCGGCCGUUGAAACUGGGGAUCUUGAGUGGGCGAGAAGUAU